RNAcentral lists this ribosomal RNA (119 nucleotides) under Pteropus alecto (black flying fox). Lineage: Eukaryota; Metazoa; Chordata; Mammalia; Chiroptera; Pteropodidae. The record is from RNAcentral.
CACUAUGGCCAUGCCACCCUGAAUGUGCUUGAUCUUGUCUGAUCUUGGAAGCUAAGCAGAGUUGGGCCUGGUUAGUACUUGGAUGGGAGACCACCUAGGAAUACCGGGUGCUGUAGGCA